Molecule: ribosomal RNA, 450 nt
Filed under: uncultured bacterium
Lineage: Bacteria
Description: partial 16S ribosomal RNA
Rfam family: Bacterial small subunit ribosomal RNA
Source: RNAcentral
GUGGGGAAUAUUGGACAAUGGGCGAAAGCCUGAUCCAGCCAUGCCGCGUGGGUGAAGAAGGCCUUCGGGUUGUAAAGCCCUUUUGUUGGGAAAGAAAAGCAGCCGGUUAAUACCCGGUUGUUCUGACGGUACCCAAAGAAUAAGCACCGGCUAACUUCGUGCCAGCAGCCGCGGUAAUACGAAGGGUGCAAGCGUUACUCGGAAUUACUGGGCGUAAAGCGUGCGUAGGUGGUUGUUUAAGUCUGUCGUGAAAGCCCUGGGCUCAACCUGGGAAUGGCGAUGGAAACUGGGUGACUAGAGUGUGGCAGAGGGUAGUGGAAUUCCUGGUGUAGCAGUGAAAUGCGUAGAGAUCAGGAGGAACAUCCGUGGCGAAGGCGACUGCCUGGGCCAACACUGACACUGAGGCACGAAAGCGUGGGGAGCAAACAGGAUUAGAAACCCGAGUAGUCC